AACGUACGCUGGCGGCACGCCUAACACAUGCAAGUCGAACGAAGUAGCAAUACUUAGUGGCAGACGGGUGAGUAACAUGUAGGUAUCUGCCCUUUGGCCUGGAAUAACACGAGGAAACUUGUGCUAAUACCGGAUAAGUCUUUACGGAGAAAGCUUUAUGCACCAUUGGAUGAGCCUGCACUUGAUUAGUUUGUUGGUGGGGUAAUGGCCUACCAAGACUGUGAUCAAUAGCUGAUUUGAGAGGAUGAUCAGCCACAUUGGGACUGAGACACGGCCCAAACUCCUACGGGAGGCAGCAGUGGGGAAUCUUGCACAAUGGAGGAAACUCUGAUGCAGCGAUGCCGCGUGAGUGAAGAAGGCCCUUGGGUUGUAAAGCUCUUUCGUCGGGGAAGAAAAUGACUGUACCCGAAUAAGAAGGUCCGGCUAACUUCGUGCCAGCAGCCGCGGUAAUACGAAGGGACCUAGCGUAGUUCGGAAUUACUGGGCUUAAAGAGUUCGUAGGUGGUUGAAAUAGUUGGUGGUGAAAUCCCAGAGCUUAACUCUGGAACUGCCAUCAAAACUUUUCAGCUAGAGUAUGAUAGAGGAAAGCAGAAUUUCUAGUGUAGAGGUGAAAUUCGUAGAUAUUAGAAAGAAUACCAAUUGCGAAGGCAGCUUUCUGGAUCAUUACUGACACUGA
This 676-nucleotide ribosomal RNA is filed under the name alpha proteobacterium IMCC14259. RNAcentral describes it as "bacterial SSU rRNA". It matches the Rfam family "Bacterial small subunit ribosomal RNA", at positions 28 to 749 of the family's 1533-position model. The record is from RNAcentral. Lineage: Bacteria; Pseudomonadati; Pseudomonadota; Alphaproteobacteria.